UACGAAGGGGGCUAGCGUUGCUCGGAAUCACUGGGCGUAAAGCGCACGUAGGCGGAUUGUUAAGUCAGGGGUGAAAUCCUGGAGCUCAACUCCAGAACUGCCUUUGAUACUGGCGAUCUUGAGUCCGGGAGAGGUGAGUGGAACUGCGAGUGUAGAGGUGAAAUUCGUAGAUAUUCGCAAGAACACCAGUGGCGAAGGCGGCUCACUGGCCCGGUACUGACGCUGAGGUGCGAAAGUGUGGGGAGCAAACAGG
This 253-nucleotide ribosomal RNA is filed under the name uncultured bacterium. RNAcentral's name for it is "partial 16S ribosomal RNA". It matches the Rfam family "Bacterial small subunit ribosomal RNA", at positions 524 to 776 of the family's 1533-position model. The record is from RNAcentral.